GCUUGGGAUAGCUAGUGUCGGAGUUUCCGACGUUUUGUAUUCGGGUUGAAUACAAAGGAUAGUGGAUUGAAAUUCUCAAGUAGGAUCUUGGGGAGUGGAUGUAGGUGCAAGGUUAGUACCGAACCACUAUAAAUUCUUGUGUUUGUGGUGUGCUUUAUCGCUUCACUUUAUAUCUUUAUUAUAUUCUUGCAUUCCUGCUUUAGGUAAUUAAUAUUGAAUUAAAGUCUUUGUUUUGUUCUUCAUAAG
Molecule: long non-coding RNA, 246 nt
Filed under: Elaeis guineensis (African oil palm)
Lineage: Eukaryota; Viridiplantae; Streptophyta; Magnoliopsida; Arecales; Arecaceae
Description: long non-coding RNA (EGUI_LNC057495)
Source: RNAcentral